This 277-nucleotide long non-coding RNA is filed under the name Mytilus galloprovincialis (Mediterranean mussel). Lineage: Eukaryota; Metazoa; Mollusca; Bivalvia; Mytilida; Mytilidae. The record is from RNAcentral.
GCGGUGAAUACUAAUGUCUAUCGAUGUCUAAGUCUAAGUCCAAGAGUGAGUCUUUAACUUUAGUGUCUGUAUAUAUAUAGUUGUCAUGGAAGAUUCUAGAACAGUCUAUAAUGGAACAUUCUAGAAAGUUACAACAGAAGUUUCUAGUAAAAUGUAGAAGUUUAUAUAACGCAUCUUUUAUUAGGAUCAUUCUGGAAAGUUCCAAUCAUUCUGUAAUUGUUUCAGUGAUUUCUAAACUGCACAGUUCUAAGAUUAUUCUGUAAACAACUAUCAGGCC